This 425-nucleotide ribosomal RNA is filed under the name uncultured bacterium. Its description in RNAcentral is "partial 16S ribosomal RNA". It matches the Rfam family "Bacterial small subunit ribosomal RNA", at positions 354 to 796 of the family's 1533-position model. The record is from RNAcentral.
GUGGGGAAUAUUGGACAAUGGGCGAAAGCCUGAUCCAGCCAUGCCGCGUGAGUGAUGAAGGCCCUAGGGUUGUAAAGCUCUUUCAGUGGGGAAGAUAAUGACGGUACCCACAGAAGAAGCCCCGGCUAACUUCGUGCCAGCAGCCGCGGUAAUACGAAGGGGGCUAGCGUUGUUCGGAUUUACUGGGCGUAAAGCGCACGUAGGCGGAUUGGUCAGUUAGAGGUGAAAUCCUGGAGCUCAACUCCAGAACUGCCUUUAAUACUGCCAGUCUAGAGUCCAGAAGAGGUGAGUGGAACUCCUAGUGUAGAGGUGGAAUUCGUAGAUAUUAGGAAGAACACCAGUGGCGAAGGCGGCUCACUGGUCUGGUACUGACGCUGAGGUGCGAAAGCGUGGGGAGCAAACAGGAUUAGAAACCCCAGUAGUCC